GGAGGGUUUAUUUGAGGGGGGGGAGUAGUGGAAACGGAAGGUAUAAAAGCGCGCGCACCAGAUGGAGCGAGGUGGGGGGGCGGGAGAGAGGUUGCGCGCGCACAAAACUGAGGGGUGCUUCUGUUGAGGCGGCUCGCCACCAAAAAGUGGGGGGGGGGGAGGGAGAACCCGAACGAGACCAACGGCCAUCUGGGUCAGUGUGAAGGGAUGGUGCGCGCGCGCGCCUCCUCCUCUCGGUCCACCUCCCCACAUAAAGAGGAAGGCGGGAUGCGCGCGCUAAGAAAUAUUUCUUUCUUAAAAGGAUUUUUUUCUUUGGCCAUACGCACAACAACCCAUCCUCUUACCAAGGGGUGCGCAGGUUUCAUAAACAAAACGGCAUCACACCGAAAAUGUAAUGCGUUUAAGGAACCAUAAUACACAAAGGGUACACACAGUACCACCCCCAUUUGGAUCAAAGCUGGCUGGAGAUAGCGGAUAGAGCAUAUGAUAAGGAGGAGUAUAUGGUCGCCUGUACGCCUUUUCCCAAACCAGCAGGAGCAAGCACUGGUCAAUGGGAGCAUGUCCGCACAACCUUAGAGCAUCGCUGCUGGAACAGGCCAAGGAGCCCAUCUGGUCCAGCAUUCAGUUGCCAAGGGCUGGCAACCGGAUGCCUCCAAGGGAGCAGCACACCUUCCCCAUUGUUUGUGCCUGGCACCUGGCGCUCGCAGGAAUAGCAGCUGUAGAAGGAGAAGACGACAGAGGGCGAAGGAAGAGCUGUGUGUGGAGUGGGGGCUUUCCCCCAUCCUCUGGACCACCCGGGGGGGGGACUCAACAAACCUGCUGCACUUGGAACUGGGUGCAGAGAGUGUUGCUGAAUUUGGACACAGCUGUGGUCAGGAAGUACCAUCCGCCUUGGGCCUGCCCAUAUAAAGCAAGUCUAGCAUGAGAGACUAGGGUAAUGUCCGUUGUUUCCAGGAACGCUUCUCUGUAUGAGACUUUUGUGGAUCAACUCCUACCCCCAAACACGUUGGAAGAGGGCCACAGCUGCCAGAGAUUGAGAUAAAGGAUGCUUCAUCCCUAAAGUGUUUGUGACUGGCAGGGAUUAUGACUACUUACGCAUCAAUGAAGAAUACACAGAUUUGCAUAAA
Molecule: long non-coding RNA, 1127 nt
Organism: Podarcis raffonei (Aeolian wall lizard)
Lineage: Eukaryota; Metazoa; Chordata; Lepidosauria; Squamata; Lacertidae
Exons: 2
Source: RefSeq, a predicted model, not a curated record